UCCCGCAAUAGCUCAGUUGGUAGAUCAUGAGACUCUGACUCUCAGGUUCACAGGUUCCAAGCCCUGCAUUGGGCA
Podarcis lilfordi (Lilford's wall lizard) is the source of this 75-nucleotide non-coding RNA. The record is from the annotation of a GenBank genome assembly. NCBI's taxonomy places the organism in Eukaryota, Metazoa, Chordata, Lepidosauria, Squamata, Lacertidae.